Molecule: ribosomal RNA, 253 nt
Filed under: uncultured prokaryote
Description: partial 16S ribosomal RNA
Rfam family: Bacterial small subunit ribosomal RNA
Source: RNAcentral
ACGUAGGGAGCAAGCGUUGUUCGGAUUUACUGGGCGUAAAGGGCGCGUAGGCGGCGCGGUAAGUCACUUGUGAAAUCUCUGAGCUUAACUAAGAACGGCCAAGUGAUACUGCAGUGCUAGAGUGCAGAAAGGGCAAUCGGAAUUCUUGGUGUAGCGGUGAAAUGCGUAGAGAUCCGGAAGAACACCGGUGGCGAAGGCGGCUCUCUGGAUCUCUUCUGACGCUGAGGCACGAAAGCUAGGGGAGCAAACGGGA